RNAcentral lists this unclassified non-coding RNA (400 nucleotides) under uncultured fungus. Its description in RNAcentral is "sequence contains ITS1". The stretch from base 1 to 106 matches the Rfam family "5.8S ribosomal RNA", at positions 50 to 154 of the family's 154-position model. Lineage: Eukaryota; Fungi. The record is from RNAcentral.
GAAAUGCGAUACGUAAUGCGAAUUGCAGAAUUCAGUGAAUCAUCAAAUCUUUGAACGCAAAUGGCGCUCCUGGGUUAGCCCUGGGAGCAUGCCUCUUUGAGUAUCGUUUAUAACUCUGCUCAGCCGCGUUCUGAACUGAACCGAGGCUGGAAAAUGAGCCGUCUGCUUGGCAUCUUGUUUUUUUUUUUCAAGGUGCGUAGAGCAGUCGCUUGAAGCGCAACUGAGAGGAGGGAAAAAACACACAUACAAAAACGGACAGAAUCUUUCUGCCUGCUUUUUUUGCCUUCUCACUCAACGUGGUUGAUGUUGCCUCCGUGCAACUCUUUUUCUUCUACGUCUGGGUGAGUUGCUUGCAAGAGAAAAGCAGGUUGGUCUGGCCUCUGUGUGUUUUGUUUUCCCU